GUAAAUACUUCACCCUUAGCCCGACGAUCCGUAGCUGGUCUGAGAGGAUGACCAGCCCACACUGGAAGUGAGACACGGUCCAGACUCCUACGGGAGGCAGCAGUGGGGAAUAUUGCACAAAUGGGCGCAAAGCAGUGAUGCAGCCAAAAAAAAGAGUAUGAAGAAGGCCUUCCGGGUUGUAAAGUACUUUCAGCGGGGAGGAAGGGAGUAAAGUUAUUACCUUUGCUCAUAGACGUUACCCGCAGAAGAAGCACCGGCUAAAUCCGUGCCAGCAGCCGCGGUAAUACGGAGGGUGCAAGCGUUAAUCGGAAUUACUGGGCGUAAAGCGCACGCAGGCGGUUUGUUAAGUCAGAUGUGAAAUCCCCGGGCUCAACCUGGGAACUGCAUCUGAUACUGGCAAGCUUGAGUCUCGUAGAGGGGGGUAGAAUUCCAGGUGUAGCGGUGAAAUGCGUAGAGAUCUGGAGNGAAUNNACGGGUGGCGAAGGCGGCCCCCUGGACGAAGACUGACGCUCAGGUGCGAAAGCGUGGGGAGCAAACAGGAUUAGAUACCCUGGUAGUCCACGCCGUAAACGAUGUCGACUUGGAGGUUGUGCCCUUGAGGCGUGGCUUCCGGAGCUAACGCGUUAAGUCGACCGCCUGGGGAGUACGGCCGCAAGGUNUNAAAACUCAAAUGAAUUGACGGGGGCCCGCACAAGCGGUGGAGCAUGUGGUUUAAUUCGAUGCAACGCGAAGAACCUUACCUGGUCUUGACAUCCACGGAAGUUUUCAGAGAUGAGAAUGUGCCUUCGGGAACCGUGAGACAGGUGCUGCAUGGCUGUCGUCAGCUCGUGUUGUGAAAUGUUGGGUUAAGUCCCGCAACGAGCGCAACCCUUAUCCUUUGUUGCCAGCGGUCCGGCCGGGAACUCAAAGGAGACUGCCAGUGAUAAACUGGAGGAAGGUGGGGAUGACGUCAAGUCAUCUUGGCUCUUACGACCAGGGCUACACACGUGCUACAAUGGCGCAUACAAAGAGAAGCGACCUCGCGAGAGCAAGCGGACCUCAUAAAGUGCGUCGUAUUCCGGAUUGGAGUCUGCCACUCGACUCCAUGAAGUCGGAUUCGCUAGUAAUCGUGUAUCAAAAUGCCACGGGUGAAUACUUUUCCCGGGCUCUUGGUACACUCCGCCCGUCCCACCAUGGGGUAGU
This 1182-nucleotide ribosomal RNA is filed under the name uncultured Shigella sp. Its description in RNAcentral is "bacterial SSU rRNA". It matches the Rfam family "Bacterial small subunit ribosomal RNA", at positions 255 to 1413 of the family's 1533-position model. Lineage: Bacteria; Pseudomonadati; Pseudomonadota; Gammaproteobacteria; Enterobacterales; Enterobacteriaceae. The record is from RNAcentral.